This 426-nucleotide ribosomal RNA is filed under the name uncultured prokaryote. RNAcentral describes it as "bacterial SSU rRNA". It matches the Rfam family "Bacterial small subunit ribosomal RNA", at positions 355 to 796 of the family's 1533-position model. The record is from RNAcentral.
UGGGGAAUUUUCCGCAAUGGGCGAAAGCCUGACGGAGCAAUACCGCGUGAGGGAGGAAGGCUCUUGGGUUGUAAACCUCUUUUCUGGGGGAAGAAGUCCUGACGGUACCCCAGGCAUCAGCAUCGGCUAACUCCGUGCCAGCAGCCGCGGUAAUACGGAGGAUGCAAGCGUUAUCCGGAAUUAUUGGGCGUAAAGCGUCCGCAGGUGGAGCGUCAAGUCUGCUGUCAAAGACCGGAGCUUAUCUCCGGGCAGGCAGUGGAAACUGGCGAACUAGAGUACGGUAGGGGUAGAGGGAAUUCCCAGUGUAGCGGUGAAAUGCGUAGAGAUUGGGAAGAACACCAGUGGCGAAGGCGGCUCACUGGUCCGGUACUGACGCUGAGGUGCGAAAGCGUGGGGAGCAAACAGGAUUAGAUACCCCGGUAGUCC